Molecule: ribosomal RNA, 439 nt
Filed under: uncultured bacterium
Lineage: Bacteria
Description: partial 16S ribosomal RNA
Rfam family: Bacterial small subunit ribosomal RNA
Source: RNAcentral
CUACGAGAGGCAGCAGUGAGGAAUAUUGCACAAUGGGGGAAACCCUGAUGCAGCAACGCCGCGUGGAGGAUGACGCAUUUCGGUGUGUAAACUCCUUUUAUGAGUCAAGAAAAUGACGGUAGCUCAUGAAUAAGCACCGGCUAACUCCGUGCCAGCAGCCGCGGUAAUACGGAGGGUGCAAGCGUUACUCGGAAUCACUGGGCGUAAAGGACGCGUAGGCGGGAUGUCAAGUCAGGUGUGAAAUCCUAUGGCUCAACCAUAGAACUGCACUUGAAACUGGCAACCUAGAGUAUGGGAGGGGGAGAUGGAAUUAGUGGUGUAGGGGUAAAAUCCGUAGAUAUCACUAGGAAUACCGAAAGCGAAGGCGAUCUCCUGGAACAUUACUGACGCUAAGGCGUGAAAGCGUGGGGAGCAAACAGGAUUAGAUACCCGCGUAGUC